This 406-nucleotide ribosomal RNA is filed under the name uncultured bacterium. RNAcentral's name for it is "partial 16S ribosomal RNA". It matches the Rfam family "Bacterial small subunit ribosomal RNA", at positions 30 to 526 of the family's 1533-position model. The record is from RNAcentral.
AUUGAACGCUGGCGGCAGGCCUAACACAUGCAAGUCGAACGAGUGGCGGACGGGUGAGUAAUGUCUGGGAAACUGCCUGAUGGAGGGGGAUAACUACUGGAAACGGUAGCUAAUACCGCAUACCAUCAGAUGUGCCCAGAUGGGAUUAGCUAGUUGGUGGGGUAACGGCUCACCAGGGCGGCGAUCCCUCGCUGGUCUGAGAGGAUGACCAGCCACAUGGGAACGGAGACACGGUCCAGACUCCUACGGGAGGCAGUAGUGGGGAAUAUUGCGCAAUGGGCGCAAGCCUGAUGCAGCCAUGCCGCGUGUAUGAAGAAGGCCUUCGGGGUGUAAAGUACUUUCAGCGGGGAGGCGUUACCCGCAGAAGAAGCACCGGCUAACUCCGUGCCAGCCGCCGCGGUAAUUC